CCUACGGGUGGCAGCAGUGGGGAAUAUUGCACAAUGGGCGCAAGCCUGAUGCAGCCAUGCCGCGUGUGUGAAGAAGGCCUUCGGGUUGUAAAGCACUUUCAGCGGGGAGGAAGGCGUUAAGGUUAAUAACCUUGGCGAUUGCCGUUACCCGCAGAAGAAGCACCGGCUAACUCCGUGCCAGCAGCCGCGGUAAUACGGAGGGUGCAAGCGUUAAUCGGAAUUACUGGGCGUAAAGCGCACGCAGGCGGUCUGUCAAGUCGGAUGUGAAAUCCCCGGGCUCAACCUGGGAACUGCAUUCGAAACUGGCAGGCUAGAGUCUUGUAGAGGGGGGUAGAAUUCCAGGUGUAGCGGUGAAAUGCGUAGAGAUCUGGAGGAAUACCGGUGGCGAAGGCGGCCCCCUGGACAAAGACUGACGCUCAGGUGCGAAAGCGUGGGGAGCAAACAGGAUUAGAUACCCGUGUAGUC
RNAcentral lists this ribosomal RNA (465 nucleotides) under uncultured Klebsiella sp. RNAcentral describes it as "bacterial SSU rRNA". It matches the Rfam family "Bacterial small subunit ribosomal RNA", at positions 338 to 795 of the family's 1533-position model. Lineage: Bacteria; Pseudomonadati; Pseudomonadota; Gammaproteobacteria; Enterobacterales; Enterobacteriaceae. The record is from RNAcentral.